AUGGCUAAUGUGCUUCGCAAAAUGGACAGUGAUGUUCCUGUAAUGGGAUUCUUCCAUGGAUUAAUGCUUGAGGCAAAGAAAGAUAAUGCUGUGAGGUUUGAUAAUGAUGAGAGUAAGUACGAAGUUUGGGACAUCAUUGAUAAAAGUUGGGAUAGCAAGCUCAAGACUCCUCUCCACUUGGCUGGCUAUUAUUUGAAUCCUCACUAUUAUUACCCAAGCAAGUCAGAGAUUGAGCAUGAUGGAUCAUUUAGAGCUGCUGUUAUUACAUGCAUCUGCAAGAUGAUUAAGGACGAAGAAACCCAAGACACUGCAAUUGAAGAACUCAACAUGUAUCAAGAUCAGCAAAGUUCUUUCGGCCAUGAGAUUGCUAUAAGGAAAAGGAGAAACAAGAAUUUUAAUCCAGGUUAG
RNAcentral lists this ribosomal RNA (408 nucleotides) under Triticum aestivum (bread wheat). Its description in RNAcentral is "partial small subunit ribosomal RNA". The record is from RNAcentral. Lineage: Eukaryota; Viridiplantae; Streptophyta; Magnoliopsida; Poales; Poaceae.